This 440-nucleotide ribosomal RNA is filed under the name uncultured bacterium. RNAcentral's name for it is "partial 16S ribosomal RNA". It matches the Rfam family "Bacterial small subunit ribosomal RNA", at positions 338 to 795 of the family's 1533-position model. The record is from RNAcentral.
CCUACGGGUGGCAGCAGUGGGGGAUAUUGCACAAUGGGGGAAACCCUGAUGCAGCGACGCCGCGUGUGGGAAGACGGUCCUCUGGAUUGUAAACCCUUGUCCCCAGGGACGAAGAUGACGGUACCUGGGGAGGAAGCUCCGGCUAACUACGUGCCAGCAGCCGCGGUAAUCCGUGGGGGGCGAGCGUUGUCCGGAAUUACUGGGUGUAAGGGGAGCGUAGGCGGGGAUGCAAGGUGGGUGUCAAAACUACCGGCUCAACUGGUAGUCGCACUCAAAACUGCAGCUCUUGAGUGAAGUAGAGGCAGGCGGAAUUCCUAGUGUAGCGGUGAAAUGCGUAGAUAUUAGGAGGAACACCAGUGGCGAAGGCGGCCUGCUGGGCUUUUACUGACGCUGAGGCUCGAAAGUGUGGGGAGCAAACAGGAUUAGAUACCCGUGUAGUC